Molecule: long non-coding RNA, 1367 nt
Organism: Bubalus bubalis (water buffalo)
Lineage: Eukaryota; Metazoa; Chordata; Mammalia; Artiodactyla; Bovidae
Exons: 2
Source: RefSeq, a predicted model, not a curated record
AUGACUGGGGAAAUGAUUUAGUCAAGACUCAGUGGUAGAGUGGUGAACUGAUUUUGACUUUGAGCACUUUCCUUAAAAAAUUAAUAAUAAUAAUAUAAUAAUAAUCAGGAAUGUAUUUCUGAUAGAUGGGGCAAGUUGAGUUUCCUGGCUCAAUAUGAGAGUUGAAGUGUCCCAACAAAAUUUAGUGGAGGAGACAUGUAGAAGUGUCUUUUUUCUGAUGUGUACUCUGAGGGAGACUGUGUAUUAAACUUUGGGCAACACACUGAGCAUUCACCAAGUCUGGGGGUCGUUAAAGCUCAUCACAGGAGAUCAAACACGCAACUUGUUCUUAAUUCCCUUUUUCCACCUUAAGUGCUUGCUCUUAAGUUCCUUAAGCCCCUCAGGAACCCCCAACAGGCAGAAGGAGGACAGGAGAUGAAGUGAUUACUCUGAAAGGCUGAUGUGGGAUAGAAAGGGUUUGGCAGAUAUUUACAGAGGGAUGAAGGAGGCAGGAGUGUUGAAGUGGCACAUAUAAGUCAAAGGAUAAAGGGAACUGAAAGGAAGUUUGAAGGUCAUGAGGAGAAACACCAUGGCCCUGAAUCACCACUCCCCAGAAUCAGACACAAGGAGGUGUCAGCAGUGGAGGAGUUAUAAAAUGGCCUCCCUCAGCAUCCACUAGCCCAUGUUGAUGGGCACAGGGGUACAUUGUGAUGUCUAAGCCCCCCAAGAUGCUCUUGGCUGGGGUGGUGCCUAACUGACCAAUCAGAUUGAAGGGUGUGGCUCCUCAUUGUCCUGAAAGGGUAUAAAUAGGGAGACCAGAGGCAGAGAUUCUAGGUUAGGCCACUUCUUGGCAUCAUCCUGACUAAGGGAAUCAGGAACCCACGGCAGUCAAGAAGAGUUACAAGGCGGUUUGCCUCAAGGAUGAAUGGACAAAAGAAGACCCUUUGUCAACGGAGGUACCGAGGCAGUGUGAAAGCACGAAAUAUGACCAUGAGGGUCAGAAGACCUCUUCAAGGAACCUUGAGAAAGAAAAUCCGACCAUAUGCCACUCAGUCGAAGAAGGUGAAGACAACCAGAAAACCCAACUGUUUUCUCCUGUUCCUGUGCACGUAAGAAACUGAAUCAAAGCCGUAAAAGGUACCAAAAUAUGAGGCGGGAUCAAAGAAGGAGGCAGAAUCCAAAGAGAAGAUAAGCUCAGCCGCCCCAGAAUAAGAGACCCUGGAGAAGUACAAGCUGGGCAGCCAGUAACUGACUCGAAAAGGUCAGACAGUGUAGAACUGUGCCUCCAGAGGUCUGCUUUCGUAGAAAUGGCCAACCAAGGAAAGACUCUCACACUAACAUAGUAAACUGAUGGCUGCAAUUACAAUAAACAUCAAAUGGUGAAAAGA